This is an RNA transcript of Odobenus rosmarus divergens (Pacific walrus), 982 nucleotides long. RefSeq lists it as uncharacterized. The transcript is spliced from 2 exons. Lineage: Eukaryota; Metazoa; Chordata; Mammalia; Carnivora; Odobenidae. The record is from RefSeq and is a predicted model, not a curated record.
AUAGUGGGAGAAAAAAAGUAUAGAUAGACUAUAGUUUCUGUCUGUUGAUUUACUUAAUUUUUCCCUUUUAGGAAUGAAAUUGAGGGUUUUUCAUAAAGAACAUCAUUUUGUCAGAUUUACCUGAUAAAAAAAAUGUGAACAUUUAUAUAGUAAGUGAUAAACCCCCCGACAUUUUACAAAAAUGGAUAAUCAAGAGGGAAUUGGUCAACAAAGAUGACAGGGCAGCAAAGAAACAAAAAGUGGUAACACUGGAAGUGAAAUUGGACGUCAUUAGAAGAUUUGAAAAUGGUGACAGCAUAGUGAAGACAAGAUGAGACCUAGGCUGACGUGAACCUAUAGUACGAACCAUCUUUUAAAAGUUCAGUGAAACUUUUAGGUAAAGUUGCUUCAACAUUUUUUAGUUUAAAUUGUACUAGGAACAGAAAGCCAUGUAUGGUUGAAAUGGAAUGUUUACUUCUACUUGGGACUGAGGACUCUAAUAAAAAACAAAUCCCAAUCAGUUUGGCUAGCAUUCAAGCCAAAGUGUUGAGGUUAGUUGCUGCACUGAAGGAAAAUGGUUAACUACAAGGGGACUGAAAAAGAACAUUUUACUGCUAAUAAAGGCUGGUUUCGUCGUUUGCAAAGUCGGCAUGAAUUGAUUAAUUUUCUGCUCUCUGGUGAAGCUGCAAGCUCAGAUAAGGAUGCUACUGUGAAAUUUGCACAUUAUUCCAAGAAUCAUAGGCAGUCGUUGCUUUGUACAUUAGAAGACUACUGUGUAAAAACAUCACAGGGUUUGGCUGUAAUGUAAAUGGAGUUCUAGAAGAUACAGAUGACUGGGAAUGUUAACACUGCUGCUACUUCAAGAAGUAGUCUAGACAUACAGCCAGAAGAAUUUAGUGAAAGUGAACAUAGUUAUAAAGGAGGAAAGCCGUUGUGUGUUGUAAAGGAUGAAUACGUUUCAGAGGAAGUGCUGCAGGUGACAAACCACAUUGAAGGAACUCUC